This 309-nucleotide ribosomal RNA is filed under the name uncultured eukaryote. Its description in RNAcentral is "partial 18S ribosomal RNA". It matches the Rfam family "Eukaryotic small subunit ribosomal RNA", at positions 1470 to 1796 of the family's 1831-position model. The record is from RNAcentral.
CCCUUAGAUGUUCUGGGCGGCCCGCGCACUACAAUGGCGGGUGCAGCGAGUGCCGAAGUAGAGUUUUCCGAGGUAUUCUUGCAAUGCUCGUUUUGAUGGGGAUAGACCCUUGCAACUGUUGGUUUUGAACGAGGAAUUCCUUGUAAGCAUGGUUUAUCAUCCGACGCUGAAUGCGUCCCUGCCCUUUGUACACACCGCCCGUCGCUCCUACCGAUGAGUCGUCCGGUGAAGUUCGUAGACCUCGUGAUUGCGGAUCACUGGGGGAAGCAAAAUGAACCUCGCGGUUUAGAGGAAGGAGAAGUCGUAACA